ACGUGGCUGGCUCAGUCAGUGAAGCAUGUGACUCUUGAUCUCAGGGUUGUGGGUUUGAGUCCCACGUUGAAUA
Molecule: transfer RNA, 73 nt
Filed under: Felis catus (domestic cat)
Lineage: Eukaryota; Metazoa; Chordata; Mammalia; Carnivora; Felidae
Rfam family: tRNA
About the family: Transfer RNA (tRNA) molecules are approximately 80 nucleotides in length. Their secondary structure includes four short double-helical elements and three loops (D, anti-codon, and T loops).
Source: Rfam by way of RNAcentral